GACAGAAAUGGGUCCAGUUUCAAGGCUAUAGAGUCAGAAACAGUGCUACACAGUUUGAGAAAAGUUCAGCUUCCUAGUGUCCUUUCCUUUUCUGUUAAUCUUUUUCUUUUAUAUGCAUAAAUUGGUGUUAUUUUGGACUAUUAUAUAUUGCAUCUUAAUGGAAUCAUAUUUCUAUCUCAAAGUUUAAAAUAUUGCCAUCGUUGCCU
This 206-nucleotide long non-coding RNA is filed under the name Sorghum bicolor (sorghum). RNAcentral's name for it is "long non-coding RNA (SBIC_LNC014847)". Lineage: Eukaryota; Viridiplantae; Streptophyta; Magnoliopsida; Poales; Poaceae. The record is from RNAcentral.